CUCAUAUUCGGAUAACGGAGGUAAUGAUUUGGUGGCAGCAAUAAAUACGUUGUUAACUGCGGACGCUAAUCCUCUUCUUUGUAAGAUGAUUCCAUCAACCUCAACAGAAUUAGAAACGGCUUUUGAAGAAGAGCCAACUAAAUUUUUAUUGCACUCCACCAUUUAAUUGGCUUUGAGUUUUUUAAAUGGCUCACCUGCAUGAGACUCAUAAAAAUUAUGAAUAGAUGGGAUAUAGCAUAGGGUGGAGUGAUGGAGAAAGAGUGAAUAUAAUAAAAAAUAAUAAAACAGUGAAAAAAUGAUGAAAAGCAAUAAAACAAAGGAAAACAUUAAUAUGUAACUACCUUGUAAUGAAUGAAUGAAUGAUUUGUUUGGUGGUAAUCCGAAUCGGCCAGCCACUACUAUUGGAGUUGAUUAAUAUAUUAACUUCCCAGAAUUCCUUGUGAUUCUUAUCGAGUAAUUGUUCGCCAAUAUGUAUGUACAAGAAUGAGUGUUGGACCCUUGAAGUUCUGUUUUAGUCAGUUGUUCUGAUUUGAUGACGGCAUGUGGUUUGAUAUAUAUCGUGCAAGUUUGUCAAGUGUUAAUUAGGUGUCAGUUCGUAUGUAUAAUUAGAACAUGAUGCGCUGUGGACUAACUGAUAACUAAAAAAUGUUUAAAAGUUUUCCAUUAGCCAGAAGUGUGAGUGCAAUGUUGAGUUAUGCUAUAUGCCUGGUGGCAGUCAGGUAUCCGUAUCUGUAUGGUGGCCCUGCUCCUCUGCUCCCUUCACCUCGUGUCUUUUUUCAACGCGAAAUACGUCCGAUUCCCUCGAUCCCUUCGAGCCCUUAUGCCCUGGUGGCCAUGAGGUGACCUGAUCCUCUGCUCCCUUCGCCUCGUGUCUCUUUUAAAAGCGAAAAACGUCCGAUCCCCUCGAUCCCUUCGAUCCCCUCGAUCCCUUAUGCCCUGGUGGCCAUGAGGUGACUCUGAUCCUCUGCUCCCUUCGCCUCGUGUCUUAUUUAAAAGCGAAAAACGUCCGAUCCCCUCGAUCCCUUCGAUCCCCUCGAUCCCUUAUGCCCUGGUGGCCGUGAGGUGACUCUGAUCCUCUGCUCCCUUCGCCUCGUGUCCCUUUGAAAAGCGAAAAACGUCCGAUCCCCUCGAUCCCUUCGAUCCCCUCGAUCCCUUAUGCCCUGGUGGCCAUGAGGUGACUCUGAUCCUCUGCUCCCUUCGCCUCGUGUCUCUUUUAAAAGCGAAAAACGUCCGAUCCCCUCGAUCCCUUCGAUCCCCUCGAUCCCUUAUGCCCUGGUGGCCAUGAGGUGACUCUGAUCCUCUGCUCCCUUCGCCUCGUGUCUCAUUUAAAAGCGAAAAACGUCCGAUCCCCUGGAUCCCUUCGAUCCCUUCGAUCCCCUCGAUCCCUUAUGCCCUGGUGGCCAUGAGGUGACUCUGAUUCUCUGCUCCCUUCGCCUCGUGUCUCUUUUAAAAGCGAAAAACGUCCGCUCCCCUCGAUCCCUUCGAUCCCCUCGAUCCCUUAUGCUCUGGUGGCCGUGAGUUGACUCUGACCCUCUGCUCCCUUCGCCUCGUGUCUCUUUUAAAAGCGAAAAACGUCCGAUCCCCUCGAUUCCUUCGAUCCCUUAUGUCCGGUGGCAGUGAGGAGACUAUGAUCCUCUGCUCCCUUCACCUCGUGUCAACGGGGAAUACGUCCGAUCCCCUUUACUCGAUAGAACGUGCCAUCAGGAAACGCUCUUCUUCGGUUUCGUGCGUUCAAAUGUUCUUGUCAGUCGACCAGCGUUCCCAUUCAUUACGGCCUUCGAUUCUUGUACUCAAGUAAUUCUUAUGUCCAGAACUGUAAC
Molecule: long non-coding RNA, 1820 nt
Filed under: Paramuricea clavata
Lineage: Eukaryota; Metazoa; Cnidaria; Anthozoa; Malacalcyonacea; Plexauridae
Source: RNAcentral